RNAcentral lists this ribosomal RNA (511 nucleotides) under uncultured bacterium. RNAcentral describes it as "partial 16S ribosomal RNA". It matches the Rfam family "Bacterial small subunit ribosomal RNA", at positions 28 to 523 of the family's 1533-position model. The record is from RNAcentral.
GACGAACGCUGGCGGCGUGCCUAAUACAUGCAAGUCGAGCGGAAGUUGGAGAGCUUGCUCUUCAACUUUAGCGGCGGACGGGUGAGUAACACGUGGGCAACCUGCCCUGCAGAUCGGGAUAACUCCGGGAAACCGGUGCUAAUACCGAAUAGUUUUCGCCACCUCCUGGUGGCGUACGGAAAGACGGUUUCGGCUGUCACUGCAGGAUGGGCCCGCGGCGCAUUAGCUAGUUGGUGGGGUAACGGCCCACCAAGGCGACGAGGCGUAGCCGACCUGAGAGGGUGAGCGGCGACACGGAGACUGAGACACGGCCAAGACUCCUACGGGAGGCAGCAGUAGGGAAUCUUCCGCAAUGGACGAAAGUCUGACGGAGCAACGCCGCGUGAGUGACGAAGGUUUUCGGAUCGUAAAACUCUGUUGUGAGGGAAGAACAAGUACCAACUAACUACUGGUACCUUGACGGUACCUCACCAGAAAGCCACGGCUAACUACGUGCCAGCAGCCGCCGUAA